This 708-nucleotide ribosomal RNA is filed under the name uncultured marine eukaryote. Its description in RNAcentral is "SSU rRNA". It matches the Rfam family "Eukaryotic small subunit ribosomal RNA", at positions 618 to 1330 of the family's 1831-position model. The record is from RNAcentral.
GUUAGAACGCUCGUAGUCGGAUUUCGGGGCGGGCCGACCGGUCUGCCGAUGGGUACGCACUGGUCGGCGCGUCCUUCCUUCCGGAGACCGUGCCUACUCUUAACUGAGCGGGGGCGGGAGACGGAACGUUUACUUUGAAAAAAUCAGAGUGUUUCAAGCAGGCAGCUCGCUCUUGCAUGGAUUAGCAUGGGAUAAUGAAAUAGGACUUUGGUGCUAUUUUGUUGGUUUCGAACACCGAAGUAAUGAUGAGAAGGGACAGUCAGGGGCACUCGUAUUCCGCCGAGAGAGGUGAAAUUCUCAGACCAGCGGAAGACGAACCACUGCGAAAGCAUUUGCCAGGGAUGUUUUCACUGAUCAAGAACGAAAGUUAGGGGAUCGAAGACGAUCAGAUACCGUCGUAGUCUUAACCAUAAACCAUACCGACUAGGGAUUGGAGGAUGUUCACUGAUUGACUCCUUCAGCACCUUACGGGAAACUAAAGUCUUUGGGUUCCGGGGGGAGUAUGGUCGCAAGGCUGAAACUUAAAGGAAUUGACGGAAGGGCACCACCAGGUGUGGAGCCUGCGGCUUAAUUUGACUCAACACGGGGAAACUUACCAGGUCCAGACAUUGUGAGGAUUGACAGAUUGAGAGCUCUUUCUUGAUUUGAUGGGUGGUGGUGCAUGGCCGUUCUUAGUUGGUGGAGUGAUUUGUCUGGUUAAUUCCGUUA